UGCCAGCAGCCGCGGUAAUACGGAGGGGGUUAGCGUUGUUCGGAAUUACUGGGCGUAAAGCGCACGUAGGCGGAUUAGAAAGUUAGAGGUGAAAUCCCGGGGCUCAACCCCGGAACUGCCUCCAAAACUGCCAGUCUAGAGUUCGAGAGAGGUGAGUGGAACUCCAAGUGUAGAGGUGAAAUUCGUAGAUAUUUGGAAGAACACCAGUGGCGAAGGCGGCUCACUGGCUCGAUACUGACGCUGAGGUACGAAAGUGUGGGGAGCAAACAGGAUUAGAUA
RNAcentral lists this ribosomal RNA (279 nucleotides) under uncultured bacterium. RNAcentral describes it as "partial 16S ribosomal RNA". It matches the Rfam family "Bacterial small subunit ribosomal RNA", at positions 506 to 784 of the family's 1533-position model. The record is from RNAcentral.